Molecule: ribosomal RNA, 2901 nt
Filed under: Clostridioides difficile
Lineage: Bacteria; Bacillati; Bacillota; Clostridia; Peptostreptococcales; Peptostreptococcaceae
Description: 23S ribosomal RNA
Rfam family: Bacterial large subunit ribosomal RNA
Source: RNAcentral
UGGUCAAGUUAUUAAGGGUGCAGGGCGGAUGCCUUGGCACUAGGAGCCGAUGAAGGACGUGAUAAGCUGCGAUAAGCUUCGGGGAGUUGCACGUAAACUUUGAUCCGAAGAUUUCCGAAUGAGGAAACUCACUUAGAGUAAUGUCUAAGUAUCAUUAAGUGAAUACAUAGCUUAAUGAGGGGAACUCAGGGAACUGAAACAUCUAAGUACCUGAAGGAAGAGAAAGAAAUUCGAUUCCGUAAGUAGCGGCGAGCGAACGCGGAUUAGCCCAAACCAAUAAAGUUUUCUUUAUUGGGGUUGCGGACAUAUCAUAACGAAGAGGUAUCGUAAUUGAAGAGGUUUGGAAAGACCCACCACAGAAGGUAAUAGUCCUGUAUGUUAAACGAGAAGACUUUAGAUAUGAUCCAGAGUACCACGGGACACGUGAAACCCUGUGGGAAGCAGGAGGGACCACCCUCCAAGGCUAAAUACUACCUAGUGACCGAUAGCGUAUAGUACCGUGAGGGAAAGGUGAAAAGAACCCCGGGAGGGGAGUGAAAUAGAACCUGAAACCCUGCACUUACAAGCUGUGGAAGCACAUUUCUUGUGUGACCGCGUACUUUUUGUAGAACGGGCCAACGAGUUACGUUAAGUAGCAAGGUUAAGCACUUAAGGUGCGGAGCCGUAGCGAAAGCGAGUUUUAACUGAGCGUUCAGUUACUUGACGUAGACCCGAAACCGGGCGACCUACCCAUGAGCAGGAUGAAGCGAAAGUAAAAUUUCGUGGAGGUCCGAACCCACGAGCGUUGAAAAGCUCGGGGAUGACUUGUGGGUAGCGGUGAAAUUCCAAUCGAGCCCGGAGAUAGCUGGUUCUCCCCGAAAUAGCUUUAGGGCUAGCCUCAAGGUGAGAGAUACGGAGGUAGAGCACUGAAUGUCCUAGGGGGUAUUGCACCUACCGAAGACUAUCAAACUCCGAAUGCCGUCAUCUUAUACUUGGGAGUCAGACUGUGGGUGAUAAGAUUCAUAGUCGAAAGGGCAACAGCCCAGAUCGUCAGCUAAGGUCCCUAAAUGUAAGUUAAGUGGUAAAGGAUGUGGGAUUGCACAGACAACCAGGAUGUUGGCUUAGAAGCAGCCACUCAUUCAAAGAGUGCGUAAUAGCUCACUGGUCGAGUGAUCCUGCGCCGAAGAUUUCCGGGGCUAAAACUUACUACCGAAGCUACGGCAUCAGUAAUGAUGGGUAGGGGAGCUUCCCAUACGGGUUGAAGCAUGACCGUAAGGACAUGUGGACAGUAUGGGAGUGAGAAUGUUGGCAUGAGUAGCGAGAUGUGGGUGAGAAUCCCACAGGCCGUAAACCCAAGGUUUCCAGGGGGAAGGUUCGUCCGCCCUGGGUUAGUCGGGACCUAAGCUGAGGCCGAAAGGCGUAGGUGAUGGACAACAGGUUGAUAUUCCUGUACUACCGAUAACCGUUUGAGAGAUGGGAUGACACAGUAGGAUAAGCUAAGCACACUGUUGGUUAUGUGUGCCCAAGCAUUGAGGCAGUCAAAGUAGGCAAAUCCGCUUUGAUAAUGCUGGGAUGUGAUGGGGAGCGAAAUUUAGUAGCGAAGUAGCUGAUUUCACACUGUCAAGAAAAGUCUCUAUCGAGGUUAAAGGUACCCGUACCGCAAACCGACACAGGUGGGUGAGGAGAGUAUCCUAAGGCCAGCGAGAGAACUGUUGUUAAGGAACUCGGCAAAAUGACCCCGUAACUUAGGGAUAAGGGGUGCCACCAUCAGGUGGCCGCAGAGAAUAGGCCCAAGCGACUGUUUACCAAAAACAUAGGUUUCUGCUAAGUCGCAAGACGAUGUAUAGGAGCUGACGCCUGCCCGGUGCUGGAAGGUUAAGGGGAUCUGUUAGAGCAAUCGAAGCAGUGAACUUAAGCCCCAGUAAACGGCGGCCGUAACUAUAACGGUCCUAAGGUAGCGAAAUUCCUUGUCGGGUAAGUUCCGACCCGCACGAAAGGCGUAACGAUUUGGGCACUGUCUCAACAACAGACUCGGUGAAAUUGUAAUUCCGGUGAAGAUGCCGGAUACCUGCGACAGGACGGAAAGACCCCAUGGAGCUUUACUGUAGCUUGACAUUGGGUCUUGGUACUACAUGUACAGGAUAGGUGGGAGGCUUUGAAACCAGGACGCCAGUUUUGGCGGAGCCAUCCUUGGGAUACCACCCUUGUAGUACUGGGACUCUAACCAUAGGCCAUGAAUCUGGUCUUGGGACACUGUCAGGUGGGCAGUUUGACUGGGGCGGUCGCCUCCCAAAAGGUAACGGAGGCGCUCAAAGGUUCUCUCAGUACGGUCGGAAAUCGUACGUAGAGUGUAAAGGCAAAAGAGAGCUUGAUUGCAAGACAUACAGGUCGAGCAAGGAUGAAAAUCGGACUUAGUGAUCCGGUGGUUCUGCGUGGAAGGGCCAUCGCUCAACGGAUAAAAGCUACCCUGGGGAUAACAGGCUUAUCUCCCCCAAGAGUCCACAUCGACGGGGAGGUUUGGCACCUCGAUGUCGGCUCAUCACAUCCUGGGGCUGUAGUAGGUCCCAAGGGUUGGGCUGUUCGCCCAUUAAAGUGGUACGCGAGCUGGGUUCAGAACGUCGUGAGACAGUUCGGUCCCUAUCCGUCGCAGGCGUAGGAAAUUUGAGAAGACCUGUCCUUAGUACGAGAGGACCGGGAUGGACGUACCUCUGGUGUACCAGUUGUCCUGCCAAGGGCAUGGCUGGGUAGCUAUGUACGGAAUGGAUAAGCGCUGAAAGCAUCUAAGCGCGAAGCCAACUUCAAGAUAAGAUUUCCCACCGCAAGGGUAAGACCCCAGAAAGACUAUCUGGUUGAUAGGUCGAAGGUGUAAGUGCAGCAAUGUAUUUAGCUUAUCGAUACUAAUAGGUCGAGGACUUGACCAAU